RNAcentral lists this ribosomal RNA (305 nucleotides) under uncultured bacterium. RNAcentral describes it as "bacterial SSU rRNA". It matches the Rfam family "Bacterial small subunit ribosomal RNA", at positions 337 to 634 of the family's 1533-position model. The record is from RNAcentral.
GCCUACGGGGGGCAGCAGUAGGGAAUCUUCCACAAUGGGCGAAAGCCUGAUGGAGCAACGCCGCGUGGGUGAAGAAGGUCUUCGGAUCGUAAAACCCUGUUGUUAGAGAAGAAAGUGCGUGAGAGUAACUGUUCACGUUUCGACGGUAUCUAACCAGAAAGCCACGGCUAACUACGUGCCAGCAGCCGCGGUAACACGUAGGUGGCAAGCGUUAUCCGGAUUUAUUGGGCGUAAAGGGAACGCAGGCGGUCUUUUAAGUCUGAUGUGAAAGCCUUCGGCUUAACCGGAGUAGUGCAUUGGAAACU